GGGGGCGUAACGGUUUCGACGGGGACGAUGAAGCAUGAUAAGCGAGCAGAGAUUGUCGCAUCUCUUUAAACAGCGGCACGUUUAAAAUUAAACGCUAAAAAGAACUUUUCUGUAAGCUUUAACAAGAGCCUGCAGGUAGCUGCCUAAGUCAGCUACUGUCGCCCGUAGGAGUACCACGGUCUACGCUGCGGCAUCAUUGCAGUGGUGAACGUUCCGGCGGCCUGUUCACACCGCAGGAUCGGAUUUGAACUACCUUUCUUAGCAGCCUGUUUACCGGCGGUUUUGAAAGGGAAUCAAUGUAGAUAAACUACGCUCGUAGAAAGUUGUGCGGAUUUGUUUUCGGACACGAGUUCAAUUCUCGUCGCCUCCACCA
This is a non-coding RNA of Ruminococcus sp. CAG:330, 373 nucleotides long. NCBI's taxonomy places the organism in Bacteria, Bacillati, Bacillota, Clostridia, Eubacteriales, Oscillospiraceae. The record is from Rfam.